GGGGAAUUAGCUCAAGUGGUAGAGCGCUCGCUUAGCAUGUGAGUGGUAACGGGAUCGAUACACGUAUUCUCCA
Molecule: transfer RNA, 73 nt
Filed under: Dreissena polymorpha
Lineage: Eukaryota; Metazoa; Mollusca; Bivalvia; Myida; Dreissenidae
Rfam family: tRNA
About the family: Transfer RNA (tRNA) molecules are approximately 80 nucleotides in length.
Source: Rfam by way of RNAcentral